RNAcentral lists this ribosomal RNA (357 nucleotides) under uncultured bacterium. RNAcentral's name for it is "bacterial SSU rRNA". It matches the Rfam family "Bacterial small subunit ribosomal RNA", at positions 29 to 404 of the family's 1533-position model. The record is from RNAcentral.
AAUGAACGUUGGCGGCGUGGAUUAGGCAUGCAAGUCGAGCGAGAACCCCGCAAGGGGGGACAGCGGCGAAAGGGACAGUAAUGUGUAGAUCAUCUGCCCUCAGGUCCGGGAUAGCUGCGGGAAACUGCAGGUAAUACCGGAUAACAUCUCCGGAUCAAAGGUGUGAUUCCGCCUGAGGAUGAGUCUACAUCCUAUUAGCUAGUUGGUAGGGUAAUGGCCACCAAGGCUUUGAUGGGUAGCGGGUGUGAGAGCACGACCCGCGCCAUUGGGACUGAGACACUGCCCAGACACCUACGGGUGGCUGCAGUGGGGAAUCUUGCGCAAUGGGCGAAAGCCUGACGCAGCGACGCCGCGUGA